CGUAUGAAAUUCAUCAGGUUAGAAUGGAUUUGGUUGUAGAUUUAUAUACAAAAAUCAGUGUUUAAAGUGUUCUGGCCUUCCAAACUACAAUACACAGCUAUACCAAUUAUUUAUAUGUUUAUGCUUUUGUUUUAAUUACUGUAUUACUUGUAUGGUCAGUUUGAGAGGUAAGCCACCAUUACUGCAGCUUACAUCUUGUGUGGGAGGUGCCAAAAAACAGUUAUUGAUCAAUCAUGCAUUGG
RNAcentral lists this unclassified non-coding RNA (242 nucleotides) under Hevea brasiliensis (rubber tree). The record is from RNAcentral. Lineage: Eukaryota; Viridiplantae; Streptophyta; Magnoliopsida; Malpighiales; Euphorbiaceae.